UGUUUGUUUUUGUUUGGUUUCUUCCAUUUUGCUUCAUGUACGAAAUUUCUUAAUUCACAGAAAACUGAAGAACUCUUAUUGUCGAUGAAAUUUUUGAACCUAUUUAAUGCAUUGUUGGUCCUCCUUUUUUCAGACACCCUCACCAAGCGCUGCCCUAGUAAAAAUCCAUGUUUUUCUCCAACUCCAAUUGGAACUCCAUCUGUCACCAAAACCAGAACAAACCAUGUUGCGUGCCGAAGAUUGAAAAUUCAGAAGAAGCUGGCUGAAUUGGAAGAACUCAAUAAGUUUUCUUGACUCAAUAUCAAAGCAGGGCAGCAGCAGAUAAUGUCAAAGCAGCAGGUUGCCAGUUAUCCUGUAGGAAUAACAACUUGAACAGCUUGAGAAACUGGUUGCCACUUGCGAAGCAGAGUUAGGAGCCCUCAUACUAAAAUGUUCAGAACUAUCCAAGUCUCCCAAAAAUAUGGAUGCUCUCAAAGAAGCUAUGCUAAAGAAAAGCUUCUGAUAGAUAUGCUCAAAACGUUGAAAAGAAAACAACCUGUUUCUUCAGCACUACCCCAACAUUCACAUCGAGCAAGCCAGUGGUUGCAUCAACAGCAGUUGCACCCCAUGCCUCGAGUUCCCUGGCAACAGAACUCAGUAGCUCUAAUCCUAAAUCUCUGGCUGUCCCUGUUCCUAGCAAUUAGCAGCUUCAUCUGGUCAUAGGCAAGAGAGCGAUGAAUGUGGAUGAAGUUACCUCAAUCUCUUGUGACUCCACCUCGCUUUCAAAGCAGCAAUCAGCCCGAGCAAAGCCUGUGGCGCACCUCACAAGCCCCUCGUGUCGCAAUUAGCCCUGCUAGUUCUCUUCUCAUAAAUGCUGCUCAACGUGUGAGGGACCCGCGUCUGAGGAAGUUAAAGGAUAGCAAAUCGGGAGGAACGUCUCCUCCGGUUUCGUCUCCUGUAUCCUCACCUGCACGCGUGACCGCUGAAAGCAACUGCGCUAUCAACAAUGGUGCCCCCUCCAGUCCAAGGAAAGGGACAGUGGACGCCGGGAAGGAAGAGCCGAGGCACUGA
RNAcentral lists this long non-coding RNA (1050 nucleotides) under Bemisia tabaci. RNAcentral describes it as "lncRNA ENSSWEETPG012670". The record is from RNAcentral. Lineage: Eukaryota; Metazoa; Arthropoda; Insecta; Hemiptera; Aleyrodidae.